GCCCCCUUAGUAUAAUUUAUUAUUACACUACUUUUUCAAGGUAGAAAUGUGAUUCUCUUUCCCAGGGAG
RNAcentral lists this transfer RNA (69 nucleotides) under Ctenolepisma villosum. RNAcentral describes it as "Ctenolepisma villosa tRNA-Glu". Lineage: Eukaryota; Metazoa; Arthropoda; Insecta; Zygentoma; Lepismatidae. The record is from RNAcentral.